UGGCUCAGGAUGAACGCUAGCGGCAGGCUUAACACAUGCAAGUCGAGGGGCAUCGGGAGGGAAGCUUGCUUUCCUUGCCGGCGACCGGCGCACGGGUGAGUAACACGUAUGCAACCUGCCCUCUUCAGGGGGACAACCUUCCGAAAGGGAGGCUAAUCCCGCGUAUAUCGGUUUCGGGCAUCCGAGAUCGAGGAAAGAUUCAUCGGAAGAGGAUGGGCAUGCGGCGCAUUAGCUAGACGGCGGGGUAACGGCCCACCGUGGCGACGAUGCGUAGGGGUUCUGAGAGGAAGGUCCCCCACACUGGUACUGAGACACGGACCAGACUCCUACGGGAGGCAGCAGUGAGGAAUAUUGGUCAAUGGGAGAGAUCCUGAACCAGCCAAGCCGCGUGAGGGAAGACGGCCCUAUGGGUUGUAAACCUCUUUUGUCGGAGAACAAAACCCGGGACGUGUCCCGGACUGCGUGUAUCCGAAGAAAAAGCAUCGGCUAACUCCGUGCCAGCAGCCGCGGUAAUACGGAGGAUGCGAGCGUUAUCCGGAUUUAUUGGGUUUAAAGGGUGCGUAGGCGGUCCGUUAAGUCAGCGGUAAAAUUGCGGGGCUCAACCCCGUCGAGCCGUUGAAACUGGCAGACUUGAGUUGGCGAGAAGUACGCGGAAUGCGCGGUGUAGCGGUGAAAUGCAUAGAUAUCGCGCAGAACUCCGAUUGCGAAGGCAGCGUACCGGCGCCAGACUGACGCUGAGGCACGAAAGCGUGGGGAUCGAACAGGAUUAGAUACCCUGGUAGUCCACGCAGUAAACGAUGAAUGCUGGUUGUCCGGGUCGAAUGAGAUCUGGGCGGCGAAGCGAAAGCGAUAAGCAUUCCACCUGGGGAGUACGCCGGCAACGGUGAAACUCAAAGGAAUUGACGGGGGCCCGCACAAGCGGAGGAACAUGUGGUUUAAUUCGAUGAUACGCGAGGAACCUUACCCGGGCUCAAACGGGAGUGGAAUGGACCAGAGACGGUUCAGCCUACGGGCCGCUUCCGAGGUGCUGCAUGGUUGUCGUCAGCUCGUGCCGUGAGGUGUCGGCUUAAGUGCCAUAACGAGCGCAACCCCCGCCGGCAGUUGCUAACGGGCAAUGCCGAGGACUCUGCCGGGACUGCCGCCGCAAGGCGUGAGGAAGGCGGGGAUGACGUCAAAUCAGCACGGCCCUUACGUCCGGGGCGACACACGUGUUACAAUGGGCGGUACAGCGGGAAGCCAGGCGGCGACGCCGAGCGGAACCCGAAAGCCGUUCUCAGUUCGGAUCGGAGUCUGCAACCCGACUCCGUGAAGCUGGAUUCGCUAGUAAUCGCGCAUCAGCCAUGGCGCGGUGAAUACGUUCCCGGGCCUUGUACACACCGCCCGUCAAGCCAUGGGAGCCGGGGGUGCUUGAAGUGCGUCGCCGUGAGGCGCGCCCUAGAGCAAAACCGGUGACUGGGGCUAAGUCGUAACAAGGUAACCGU
RNAcentral lists this ribosomal RNA (1481 nucleotides) under uncultured bacterium. RNAcentral's name for it is "16S ribosomal RNA". It matches the Rfam family "Bacterial small subunit ribosomal RNA". The record is from RNAcentral.